This 77-nucleotide transfer RNA is filed under the name Alicyclobacillus fastidiosus. Its description in RNAcentral is "tRNA-Met". It matches the Rfam family "tRNA". From Rfam's summary of the family: Transfer RNA (tRNA) molecules are approximately 80 nucleotides in length. Their secondary structure includes four short double-helical elements and three loops (D, anti-codon, and T loops). Lineage: Bacteria; Bacillati; Bacillota; Bacilli; Caryophanales; Alicyclobacillaceae. The record is from RNAcentral. RNAcentral also lists the same sequence under 2 other names.
GGCGGCGUAGCUCAGUUGGUUAGAGCACACGGUUCAUACCCGUGGCGUCGGUGGUUCGAAUCCACUCGCCGCUACCA